Ruditapes philippinarum (Manila clam) is the source of this 436-nucleotide long non-coding RNA. RefSeq lists it as uncharacterized. The record is from RefSeq and is a predicted model, not a curated record. NCBI's taxonomy places the organism in Eukaryota, Metazoa, Mollusca, Bivalvia, Venerida, Veneridae. The transcript is spliced from 3 exons.
UGCAAAGAUAAAUAUUUAGAUUAUAACAGCUAAGAAACAGGAUGUUUUGUUUCUGAGGUUAUUCAUGCAGGUGAAUGCCAGUCAAACGCCACGCAUUUGUUAGAGGUAUUUUAGAGGACAAGGGUGAAUCAGGUUGUAUAACGCUUCAGAAAAGAAAGGGAAAAAGGGAAAUUGUAUCAUACUUUUUGAUUCACAUUUGUCACGGAAUAAAAGGACUAUGUGUUUAGCACACGUUCUCAUUUUAGUUGUGAUGGUUACCAUUACUGAUGCUUUAGAUGGAGGCUGCCUAUCACCUAAAUUUAGGGUUAAACCGACACAUGAUGCUGUUGCAGUAGUUGGCGGGACACAUCAAUUUCGGUGCAUAGUUAGAGGCAGACCGGCACCUUACAUAAAAUGGUUUUCUAAAGAUAAAAUUGUAUCUCAGAAGAAAAAGUAA